This 487-nucleotide ribosomal RNA is filed under the name uncultured bacterium. Its description in RNAcentral is "bacterial SSU rRNA". It matches the Rfam family "Bacterial small subunit ribosomal RNA", at positions 446 to 924 of the family's 1533-position model. The record is from RNAcentral.
AGAAAUCGUGGUCUCUAACAUAGGCCAUGGAUGACGGUACCGGACUAAGAAGCACCGGCUAACUACGUGCCAGCAGCCGCGGUAAUACGUAGGGUGCGAGCGUUAAUCGGAAUUACUGGGCGUAAAGCGUGCGCAGGCGGUUUUGUAAGACAGAUGUGAAAUCCCCGGGCUUAACCUGGGAACUGCGUUUGUGACUGCAAGGCUAGAGUACGGCAGAGGGGGGUGGAAUUCCUGGUGUAGCAGUGAAAUGCGUAGAGAUCAGGAGGAACACCGAUGGCGAAGGCAGCCCCUGGGCCUGUACUGACGCUCAUGCACGAAAGCGUGGGGAGCAAACAGGAUUAGAUACCCGGGUAGUCCACGCCCUAAAACGAUGUCGACUAGUCGUUCGGAGCAGCAAUGCACUGAGUGACGCAGCUAACGCGUGAAGUCGACCGCCUGGGGAGUACGGCCGCAAGGUUAAAACUCAAAGGAAUUGACGGGGACCCGC